AUUUAUAUAGUUUAAUAAAAACUUUAUAUUUUCAUUAUAAAAAUAGAAAAUUUUCUUAUAAAUC
Molecule: transfer RNA, 64 nt
Filed under: Nycteribia parvula
Lineage: Eukaryota; Metazoa; Arthropoda; Insecta; Diptera; Nycteribiidae
Description: tRNA-Glu
Source: RNAcentral